Molecule: long non-coding RNA, 538 nt
Organism: Mus pahari (shrew mouse)
Lineage: Eukaryota; Metazoa; Chordata; Mammalia; Rodentia; Muridae
Exons: 3
Source: RefSeq, a predicted model, not a curated record
CCGGGUCCCGGGGCCUUGGGGAAGGACCCCCUAGCCGCAUGCCGGCCCCAAGUGCAAAGCAUUGACACGUUCCGGAGAGGAGAGGGGGCGCCCUUUCCCUCCCGCGCCGGGAGGCCCGGCCGCUCUUGCCUGCGCCCCAGCCUGGCCUCCCACCCCACUCCCGGUCACCGCCCCGGGUCCAUGCACUUCGGAGGGAGGCUGCGGGCACUGGAAAGCGAGGCCGGUGGGCGGGCAAGUCAGGAGGCUCGGGCGGCCGAGGUCCCGGAGCCGAACUCAGGUGGCCGGAGCCGGCACUGGUGUCUGCAGCAGACAGGUGCCAACUGAGAAUGGAAGAGGGGACAAUAUGAACUGCACAGCUCAGCUCAGUGGCAGGGAACCAGUGUGCAGACCCAAGUGAACAAGAGCAGGGCUAGAUGGCCCUCAAGCUGGCACAUUACGGAAAGGAUGAUGCAGAGGUGACAGAUCCCACAACGUCUCGGCUUGGUGACUCGGCCAUGGCAUCUGCAAGCCGUUCCCGGAGGCCCUCCUCUGUGUGCUC